Molecule: ribosomal RNA, 674 nt
Filed under: uncultured Bacteroidales bacterium
Lineage: Bacteria; Pseudomonadati; Bacteroidota; Bacteroidia; Bacteroidales
Description: bacterial SSU rRNA
Rfam family: Bacterial small subunit ribosomal RNA
Source: RNAcentral
CAUGAACUUAGCUUGCUAAGUUUGAUGGCGACCGGCGCACGGGUGAGUAACACGUAUCCAACCUGCCGAUGACUCGGGGAUAGCCUUUCGAAAGAAAGAUUAAUACCCGAUGGCAUAGUUCUUCCGCGUGGUGGAACUAUUAAAGAAUUUCGGUCAUCGAUGGGGAUGCGUUCCAUUAGGUUGUUGGCGGGGUAACGGCCCACCAAGCCUUCGAUGGAUAGGGGUUCUGAGAGGAAGGUCCCCCACAUUGGAACUGAGACACGGUCCAAACUCCUACGGGAGGCAGCAGUGAGGAAUAUUGGUCAAUGGACGAGAGUCUGAACCAGCCAAGUAGCGUGAAGGAUGACUGCCCUAUGGGUUGUAAACUUCUUUUAUACGGGAAUAAAGUGAGGCACGUGUGCCUUUUUGUAUGUACCGUAUGAAUAAGGAUCGGCUAACUCCGUGCCAGCAGCCGCGGUAAUACGGAGGAUCCGAGCGUUAUCCGGAUUUAUUGGGUUUAAAGGGAGCGUAGGCGGACGCUUAAGUCAGUUGUGAAAGUUUGCGGCUCAACCGUAAAAUUGCAGUUGAUACUGGGUGUCUUGAGUACAGUAGAGGCAGGCGGAAUUCGUGGUGUAGCGGUGAAAUGCUUAGAUAUCACGAAGAACUCCGAUUGCGAAGGCAGCUUGCUGGACUGU